GGCCCGAUAGCUCAGUUGGUAGAGCAGCGGAUUGAAAAUCCGCGUGUCACUGGUUCAAUUCCAGUUCGGGCCACCA
Molecule: transfer RNA, 76 nt
Filed under: Betaproteobacteria bacterium
Lineage: Bacteria; Pseudomonadati; Pseudomonadota; Betaproteobacteria
Also listed under: 5 other names
Description: tRNA-Phe
Rfam family: tRNA
About the family: Transfer RNA (tRNA) molecules are approximately 80 nucleotides in length.
Source: RNAcentral